UCAACUUGAGAGUUUGAUCCUGGCUCAGAACGAACGCUGGCGGCAGGCCUAACACAUGCAAGUCGAGCGGCCCUUUCGGGGGUAGCGGCGGACGGGUGAGUAACGCGUGGGAACGUACCCUUUUCUACGGAAUAGCCUCGGGAAACUGAGAGUAAUACCGUAUACGCCCUUUGGGGGAAAGAUUUAUCGGAGAAGGAUCGGCCCGCGUUGGAUUAGGUAGUUGGUGGGGUAAUGGCCUACCAAGCCGACGAUCCAUAGCUGGUUUGAGAGGAUGAUCAGCCACACUGGGACUGAGACACGGCCCAGACUCCUACGGGAGGCAGCAGUGGGGAAUCUUAGACAAUGGGGGAAACCCUGAUCUAGCCAUGCCGCGUGAGCGAUGAAGGCCUUAGGGUUGUAAAGCUCUUUCACCGGGGAAGAUAAUGACGGUACCCGGAGAAGAAG
RNAcentral lists this ribosomal RNA (444 nucleotides) under Phaeovulum veldkampii DSM 11550. RNAcentral describes it as "bacterial SSU rRNA". It matches the Rfam family "Bacterial small subunit ribosomal RNA", at positions 1 to 490 of the family's 1533-position model. Lineage: Bacteria; Pseudomonadati; Pseudomonadota; Alphaproteobacteria; Rhodobacterales; Paracoccaceae. The record is from RNAcentral.